This 501-nucleotide ribosomal RNA is filed under the name uncultured bacterium. RNAcentral describes it as "partial 16S ribosomal RNA". It matches the Rfam family "Bacterial small subunit ribosomal RNA", at positions 30 to 523 of the family's 1533-position model. The record is from RNAcentral.
AUUGAACGCUGGCGGCAGGCUUAACACAUGCAAGUCGAGCGGGGGAAGGUAGCUUGCUACCGGACCUAGCGGCGGACGGGUGAGUAAUGCUUAGGAAUCUGCCUAUUAGUGGGGGACAACAUCUCGAAAGGGAUGCUAAUACCGCAUACGUCCUACGGGAGAAAGCAGGGGAUCUUCGGACCUUGCGCUAAUAGAUGAGCCUAAGUCGGAUUAGCUAGUUGGUGGAGUAAAGGCCUACCAAGGCGACGAUCUGUAGCGGGUCUGUGAGGAUGAUCCGCCACACUGGGACUGAGACACGGCCCAGACUCCUACGGGAGGCAGCAGUGGGGAAUAUUGGACAAUGGGGGGAACCCUGAUCCAGCCAUGCCGCGUGUGUGAAGAAGGCCUUAUGGUUGUAAAGCACUUUAAGCGAGGAGGAGGCUACUUUAGUUAAUACCUAGAGAUAGUGGACGUUACUCGCAGAAUAAGCACCGGCUAACUCUGUGCCAGCCGCCGCAGUAA